Canis lupus familiaris (dog) is the source of this 103-nucleotide non-coding RNA. NCBI's taxonomy places the organism in Eukaryota, Metazoa, Chordata, Mammalia, Carnivora, Canidae. The record is from Rfam.
AGGAGGAACAGCCCCAGUGGCGGGCAGCUCUGGAAACCUGGAUUCAGCCCCCGCAGGAACUCCGGAGCUCUCCGUCUGCAGGGCCUGGAGGCUCCGGGGCGGG